This 391-nucleotide ribosomal RNA is filed under the name uncultured bacterium. RNAcentral describes it as "partial 16S ribosomal RNA". It matches the Rfam family "Bacterial small subunit ribosomal RNA", at positions 523 to 917 of the family's 1533-position model. The record is from RNAcentral.
AUACGGAGGAUCCGAGCGUUAUCCGGAUUUAUUGGGUUUAAAGGGUGCGCAGGCGGCCAUUUAAGUCAGCGGUUAAAUCGUGGGGCUCAACCCCAUUCUGCCGUUGAUACUGGGUGGCUUGAUUGCGGUCGAGGUUGGCGGAAUUCGUUGUGUAGCGGGGAAAUGCAUAGAUAUGACGAAGAACACCGAUUGCGUAGGCAGCUGACCAGAUCGCAAAUGACGCUCAUGCACGAAAGUGCGGGGAUCGAACAGGAUUAGAUACCCUGGUAGUCCGCACAGUAAACGAUGAAUACUUGUUUUCGGCGAUAUAAUGUCGGAGGCAAAGCGAAAGCGAUAAGUAUUCCACCUGGGGAGUACGCCGGCAACGGUGAAACUCAAAUGAAUUGACGGG